Molecule: ribosomal RNA, 198 nt
Filed under: uncultured bacterium
Lineage: Bacteria
Description: partial 16S ribosomal RNA
Rfam family: Bacterial small subunit ribosomal RNA
Source: RNAcentral
ACGCUCGACACCUACGGGAGGCNGCAGUGGGGGAUAUUGCACAAUGGGGGAAACCCUGAUGCAGCGACGCCGCGUGAGGGAAGACGGUUUUCGGAUUGUAAACCUCUGUCUUCAGGGACGAUAGUGACGGUACCUGAAGAGGAAGCCACGGCUAACUACGUGCCAGUAGCCGCGGUAAUCUGAGCGGGCUGGCAAGGC